AAAGAAACUAACAAGGAUUCCCCUAGUAACGGCGAGUGAAGCGGGAAGAGCACAAAUUUAAAAUCUACCUGGUUUCUAGGUCGAGUUGUAAUUUGAAGAAACGUUUUUGACGUUCCGGGUUGGGAUAAAUCCUUUGGGAUGAGGUAUCAUGGAGGGUGAGAAUCCCGUGUAUACCAACCGCAGGGAUGUUAUUUAAUACGUUUUCUAAGAGUCGAGUUGUUUGGGAAUGCAGCUCUAAAUGGGUGGUAAAUUUCACCUAAUGCUAAAUAUAAGCGAGAGACCGAUAGCGAACAAGUACCGUGAGGGAAAGAUGAAAAGAACUUUGAAAAGAGAGUUAAAUAGUACGUGAAAUUGUUGAAAGGGAAACGAUUGAAGUCAGUCAUGCCGGCGGGAAUCAACUUAGGGGAAACUUUAAGUGCACUUCACGUUUGGCAGGUCAGCGUCGAUUUUGGAUAUCAUAAAAUGAUUGGGGGAAGGUAGCUCCUUCGGGAGUGUUAUAGCCCUUGAUAGAUGUGAUGUCUGGGAUCGAGGAUUGCAACGGAUAUCCUUUGGGCUAGCCGCCUGAUCUCUAACUGGUGUUAGGUUACGGACAGCAUGCUGACCGUGAUUUAAUUACUGGUUAAAAGGUUAGAGCGAGUGUAAAUUCGUUAAGGACGCU
RNAcentral lists this ribosomal RNA (658 nucleotides) under Dentiscutata heterogama. Its description in RNAcentral is "eukaryotic LSU rRNA". It matches the Rfam family "Eukaryotic large subunit ribosomal RNA", at positions 58 to 627 of the family's 3401-position model. The record is from RNAcentral. Lineage: Eukaryota; Fungi; Glomeromycota; Glomeromycetes; Diversisporales; Gigasporaceae.